AGUGCCGUGUCUGAAUUAAAGACUCUCCUUGAUGGGGUGAUGCAUGUAGGUUGAAAUCCUUCCGGCACCU
RNAcentral lists this transfer RNA (70 nucleotides) under Cynoglossus trigrammus. RNAcentral describes it as "tRNA-Ile". The record is from RNAcentral. Lineage: Eukaryota; Metazoa; Chordata; Actinopteri; Pleuronectiformes; Cynoglossidae.